Molecule: ribosomal RNA, 496 nt
Filed under: uncultured bacterium
Lineage: Bacteria
Description: partial 16S ribosomal RNA
Rfam family: Bacterial small subunit ribosomal RNA
Source: RNAcentral
GAUGAACGCUGGCGGCGUGCCUAAUACAUGCAAGUCGAGCGAACGGACGAGAAGCUUGCUUCUCUGAUGUUAGCGGCGGACGGGUGAGUAACACGUGGAUAACCUACCUAUAAGACUGGGAUAACUUCGGGAAACCGUAGCUAAUACCGGAUAAUAUUUUGAACCGCAUGGUUCAAAAGUGAAAGACGGUCUUGCUGUCACUUAUAGAUGGAUCCGCGCUGCAUUAGCUAGUUGGUAAGGUAACGGCUUACCAAGGCAACGAUGCAUAGCCGACCUGAGAGGGUGAUCGGCCACACUGGAACUGAGACACGGUCCAGACGCCUACGGGAGGCAGCAGUAGGGAAUCUUCCGCAAUGGGCGAAAGCCUGACGGAGCAACGCCGCGUGAGUGAUGAAGGUCUUCGGAUCGUAAAACGCUGUUAUUAGGGAAGAACAUAUGUGUAAGUAACUGUGCACAUCUUGACGGUACCUAAGCAGAAAACCACGGCUAACUACGU